AGAGUUUGAUCCUGGCUCAGAACGAACGCUGGCGGCGUGCCUAAGACAUGCAAGUCGUGCGAGAAAGUCGCCUUCGGGUGGCGAGUAGAGCGGCGCACGGGUGAGUAACGCGUGGGUAAUCUACCCAAGGGUUCGGGACAACUUCGGGAAACUGGAGCUAAUACCGAAUGAGACCACGAUGUCCUCGGAUAUCGCGGAAAAAGGUGGCCUCUUCUUGAAAGCUAUCGCCUUUGGAUGAGCCCGCGUCCCAUUAGCUUGUUGGUGGGGUAAUGGCCUACCAAGGCUCCGAUGGGUAGCUGGUCUGAGAGGAUGAUCAGCCACACUGGAACUGAGACACGGUCCAGACUCCUACGGGAGGCAGCAGUCGGGAAUUUUGGGCAAUGGGGGCAACCCUGACCCAGCAACGCCGCGUGAGGGAUGAAGGCCUUCGGGUCGUAAACCUCUGUCGGGAGGGAAGAAAGGGCCGUAGUCGAAUAGGCUACGGUUUUGACGGUACCUCCAAAGAAGACCGCUAACU
Molecule: ribosomal RNA, 517 nt
Filed under: uncultured bacterium
Lineage: Bacteria
Description: bacterial SSU rRNA
Rfam family: Bacterial small subunit ribosomal RNA
Source: RNAcentral